RNAcentral lists this ribosomal RNA (1599 nucleotides) under Triticum aestivum (bread wheat). RNAcentral's name for it is "partial small subunit ribosomal RNA". The record is from RNAcentral. Lineage: Eukaryota; Viridiplantae; Streptophyta; Magnoliopsida; Poales; Poaceae.
AUGGCAGGUCAAACCGUGAAACCAAGUCAAUGUAGGUACGUGCACAAGUGCGAUGCACAACACCACAACCAUGUACGUGCGCGAAGAUCUUAUGUGCAUCUCACCAGCUUCAUCCCUGCCGGUACAACGGUCCAUGUCGUCACGCACCCGCUUCUGCCGCCGAACGCGACCACUCCAACAACAAACGCACCAAAUAUGAUACCGCUAGCUCCCCCGACACGGCCGACCGGGCUGACGCUCCCCCAUGCCUCUCAUGCCCACUGCUUGCCGUCCAUCGUGCCACGGCCGGGGCCGGAAGAAAACCCUUUGCCGCCGCGUCAGCCGCAGCAGCAGGCACGGGUAAAAAGGACAAACGAGGCGGCCCAGCGCGCGACGGUCCGGACCCAUCUGGUCCGAUUUGUGUCCGGGCCGACCAAUUUCGAGCGCAAACAUGCGUCGGGUUUGGGUCGCGGCGGACAGCGAACGGACGCGUCGCUCGUCCGCGUCAGGGCCGCGUGGCAGGCGGCCACCUACCUAACACCAGCCAACAUCAAUGCGCACGCGCAGCCGGCCCCGCCUGUCAUCUGCCCAGGCGAACGGUCGCGGUCCUUCUUAAAUGGGGAAGCCGUGGACCGGUCGUCGUCCAUAUUCCCCCACUCCACCCCGCGGCCUCCUCGAAACCCGACAACCCCAAACCCCCAAACCCUAGCCUCGAACUCGCCGGCCGGCCGCCUCGCACCCAUGGGGUUAUGGAACUACGGCCGCAACAAGAAGCACGACCGCGAGGCUGGCUCCUCGUCGGGACGCCGCCGCGGCUCCGUGAAGAAGGAGGAGCCCGCAUCACCACCGCGUCGGGCCCCCGCACCGCCCACGUUCUCCAUCGCCCUCACGGCCGCCGGCGAGCGCGACCGGCACUACAUUGAGGCGGCCAUAUGCCGCCGCUAUUGGGAGACGAGGACGCCGCUUCCCUGGAGCGACGUCCACCUCCCCAAAGACUGGCAUUUGUCCGCCGACCGCCUGCCGAUCCCGGUGAGCGGCCGUGCGCGCCGCCAGGAGAUCGAGCGCCGCCGCCGCCUCCUCCCGGACGACCUCUAUUACGACGUCAGGUACGCCCCCGACUCGCCCAUGUGGGACACGUGGUUCCGGGACGAGCACGACACGCGGCGGGCGUCCUUCUUCGCCGGCACGUCGACGGGGUCGCAGUGGCCACGUCCAGAGCGCCGAGCGGCUGCUCCCCAGGUGCGCGGGCCGGAGGAGGAGGCCCGUCUCAUGGCGCGUGUCAUGAAGGACUCCAUGCGCACGCACGAUAAGCGCCAAUGGGAGGGCCUCGAGGAGAUGAUGGCCCUCUCCGUGGCUGGCGACGUCGCCAUCACCGAGCUGGAGAUGGUGGCGGCGGAGGAGGAGGCGCCGGUAGCCGCGUUCCACCCGGGCCUGGUGGGCCAUCACUGGAGCUGGUCGUGCACGGCUCCGGAGAUGGCCGACGCCGUGGGGGGCGUGAACUGGUGCCCCACGCCGCCGCGUUCACCGGAGCGGGACGCGUCGCAAAGGGAGGAGGUGGUGGAGGCACCUGCCGCUGUCCAGCCCGCCCCCGCGUACCACGGACCGCCGGCCCACCUCUAG